CCUACGGGAGGCAGCAGUGAGGAAUAUUGGUCAAUGGCCGGAAGGCUGAACCAGCCAUGCCGCGUGAAGGUCAGUGCCCUAUGGGCGUUAAACUUCUUUUGUGCGGGAGCAAUAAUGGUCACGUGUGGCCAGACGAGAGUACCGUACGAAUAAGCAUCGGCUAACUCCGUGCCAGCAGCCGCGGUAAUACGGGGGAUGCAAGCGUUAUCCGGAUUUAUUGGGGUUAAAGGGUGCGUAGGCUGUGAGGUAAGUCAGCGGUGAAAUGCCCCCGCGCAACGGGGUGAAGUGCCAUUGAUACUGCCUUGCUGGAAUGCGGAGGCCGGGGGAGGAAUGUGUGGUGUAGCGGUGAAAUGCAUAGAUAUCACACAGAACACCGAUUGCGAAGGCAUCUCACGAAUCCGCGAUUGACGCUGAUGCACGAAAGCGUGGGUAUCAAACAGGAUUAGAUACCCUUGUAGUC
This 460-nucleotide ribosomal RNA is filed under the name uncultured bacterium. Its description in RNAcentral is "partial 16S ribosomal RNA". It matches the Rfam family "Bacterial small subunit ribosomal RNA", at positions 338 to 795 of the family's 1533-position model. The record is from RNAcentral.